GUGGGGAAUAUUGGACAAUGGGGGGAACCCUGAUCCAGCCAUGCCGCGUGUGUGAAGAAGGCCUUUUGGUUGUAAAGCACUUUAAGCGAGGAGGAGGCUACCGAGAUUAAUACUCUUGGAUAGUGGACGUUACUCGCAGAAUAAGCACCGGCUAACUCUGUGCCAGCAGCCGCGGUAAUACAGAGGGUGCAAGCGUUAAUCGGAUUUACUGGGCGUAAAGCGCGCGUAGGUGGCCAAUUAAGUCAAAUGUGAAAUCCCCGAGCUUAACUUGGGAAUUGCAUUCGAUACUGGUUAGCUAGAGUAUGGGAGAGGAUGGUAGAAUUCCAGGUGUAGCGGUGAAAUGCGUAGAGAUCUGGAGGAAUACCGAUGUCGAAGGCAGCCAUCUGGCCUAAUACUGACACUGAGGUGCGAAAGCAUGGGGAGCAAACAGGAUUAGAAACCCGAGUAGUCC
This 451-nucleotide ribosomal RNA is filed under the name uncultured bacterium. Its description in RNAcentral is "partial 16S ribosomal RNA". It matches the Rfam family "Bacterial small subunit ribosomal RNA", at positions 354 to 796 of the family's 1533-position model. The record is from RNAcentral.